UCCAGACUCCUACGGGAGGCAGCAGUGGGGAAUAUUGCACAAUGGGGGAAACCCUGAUGCAGCGGCGCCGCGUGAGUGAAGAAGUAUUUCGGUAUGUAAAGCCCUAUCGGCAGGGAAGAAGCAAGACGGUACCUGACUAAGAAGCCCCGGCUAACUACGUGCCAGCAGCCGCGGUAAUACGUAGGGGGCGAGCGUUAUCCGGAUUCACUGGGUGUAAAGGGAGCGUAGACGGCCAAGCAAGCCAGGGGUGAAAGCCCGGGGCCCAACCCCGGGACUGCCCUUGGAACUGCUUGGCUGGAGUGCGGGAGGGGCAGGCGGAAUUCCUGGUGUAGCGGUGAAAUGCGUAGAUAUCAGGAGGAACACCGGCGGCGAAGGCGGCCUGCUGGACCGCUACUGACGUUGAGGCUCGAAAGCGUGGGGAGCAAACAGGAUUAGAUACCCGAGUAGC
This 448-nucleotide ribosomal RNA is filed under the name uncultured bacterium. Its description in RNAcentral is "partial 16S ribosomal RNA". It matches the Rfam family "Bacterial small subunit ribosomal RNA", at positions 330 to 794 of the family's 1533-position model. The record is from RNAcentral.